UAGAUCCGGCGACUUCUGCUUCAGAUCCGACGAUUCACAGCGUUCGUCUUCCCCUCCACGACGACGCAGCAGAGGAAGUAUUAGAGGCACGUGUUCCGGCGAUUGCACGAAUUUGAGCGACGGCAGUAGUCAGCGUGUGACGGCAGCAUCAGUUUGUGGUGAGAUUCCGGUAGUCUUGCUUUGUUUUAUGGCGGAUUCGACAUUCGUUGGUGGGCGGCAUCCCCGUGUACGACUUCACAUGGUGGCAGCAACGUCCCCAUCACAUAAACCGCGCACAAUAGCAUCGAUAGCGUGUCUCCACUGCUAGAUUUCGUGGACAGGUGCAUUCUGAUGGUUUUUGGUGGUGACCCACACCCAAAUGUAGCCCAUUCGUGUUACCCACCCUUGUACGGAGUCGUUUUAUGAUGCCCAACUCCUUCAGCGUUGACCCGCUCUUAACCGAAGUGUGUUCGGUGUGAGUUAGAACCUUUCGGCGAAGCUUAGGAGUGUUAGGUUCUUUGGGUAAGUAGUUUCUUACUGAAGGGAUUGUUUGUUGUGUGUUGCUAUGAACGAAAUGUUUGUUUGUGUGCUUAUGAAUGUUGUCGCAUGAUUGCUUGCGGUUGGUACUACUUUAUACAUGUUGGUUGUGUUCUGAUUACUAUGAAACUUUUUAGAGUGUUGGAUGCGUUUUUGGAUAUAUUUCGGCUAGUCUUUUGUGAAUUAUACGUUGUGGUGUGUAAAUCAUGCUGAAUGUUGAGAGAAAGGUGUUCUUGUGAUGUCGGAUGGCCAUGUUUGGAUAAUAGUGGCAUAGGUUUCGUGUAUAACGCAUGUUGCAUUGUUGUACGAUAAAUUCUGCAUGGGUCAUGACUUAGAAGCAUGUAGGAAUGUGGUGAGAGUUUCGGGAUAUAAUGAAGUGUGUGGAUGAGUAACAGGGUCAGAGGGCUGGCACGUCACUAGUUGGGUUUCGAGACUCUAGGUGCAAAGGUCAGGGAUUGAUACCCCAACUUGGCAGAGAUGAGUGUCGAGGCUCCGGGUACAAAGGUCGGGGGUCGGCACGGUGAUUCUAAUUGUUGAAUUAGUAUUGGGUCUUGAUGUGGUGGCAGUCAAGGACCAAUACGUUGAGUAGUCAUCGAUACCUUCGGGAUAAAUGUAAAGGGUCGAUGCACAGUUCAAGGCCUUGGGGAUAAAUGGCAAGGUCGAAUGCCAAACUUCUGUAGAUGAGUGUCGAGCCUUGGGGAUAAAUGGCAAGGGCCGAUACAAUUCGAGGACUUAGACUUGGAGGACUAACAUAAUAGGAUUGACAGUUCGUUAUUCUUGAGAACAUUAAUUUUGUUUAGUUACUUGAACUGUGGUGAUGUAAUCUAUUGAGGACAUUUAUCAAUAUAAUACAUUUGUUUAAGUUGAACUUGAGUUAGCUUUUGUUUCGCUGCUAUUUGAGAAACGUGUAGUGGAUGGUUUAUGAUUAGUGAAGAUUUCAUUGAGAAGUUUUAUAAUGUUAGAUUGUUAUUAAAUUAUUAACUGUGAAGAAUUUGAGUUUCGUUAGAACUUUUGUGUUGUCUGGUUUGUUUAGUGCAAGUUUUUUUUUGAAACUGUUAUUAUUCCAAGUAGCACAGUGGAAGCGUGGUGAGAGUUGUCCUAGUUUAUAUCUCUAGUGGUUUAAUUCUCUAGUACGAACGAGACUUUUUAGGUGGCUUUUAGUAAUGGUCCCCAUUGGGAUGUGGAAAAUCCUGGGGCGUUACAUUAUGAUUUGCAAUGGUUAACCAAUAGAGGUGAGAUCAAAAUCCAAAGUCAAGUCUUAGUUCCCUUCUCCAUAGGAAGGUACAAAGACGAAGUUAUUUGCAAUGUUGUGUCUAUACAUGCAUGUGAUUUAUUACUUGGACGACCGUGACAACAUAUGACAAAAAGGUAAAGUAUGAUGGUUUUCAUAACAAAUAUUCCUUUAGCAACAAUGGCAAGAAAAUCAGAUAAUUACUUCCCUUAUCUCCAAAUGAACUGAGAAUCGACCAAAGAAAAUUGGAAGAAAGAAGAAACGAGGUUACCAAGGAUCAAGAAGAAAAGGUAAAGCCUCCAACAAAGGUAAGAAGGUCGUGAGUCUCAUAGAAAGUUCUAGUGAGAUUAAGAAAGCUUUUUGUUUUAAUCAAAUGCUCUUCAUGUUUAUGUCUAAAGGUACAUGUCUCCUAACCCAAGAACUUCAAGAUACAUUACCUAGUGUUUUUGUCGAGCUUUUACAAGAAUUCAAGGAUAUUUUUCUUGAGGAGUUGCCCAAGGAGCUACCACCAUUGAAAGGGAUAAAACACAAAAUCAAUUUCAUCUCUGGAUCACAAAUUCCUAAUCGGUCAGACUACAAACCAAUCGCAAGGUGCUCAUGGGUAUGUAAGAGAAUCACUUAGCCCUUGUAGUGUACCCAUUUUACAUGUGCCUAAAAAGAAUGGAUCUUGACGCAUGUGUGUAGAUUGUAGGACUAUUAACAAAAUCACAAAUAUAGACAUCCAAUAGCAAGGUUAGAUGACAUGCUUGAUGAUUGCAUGGUUGUAAAUUGUUCACUAAAAUUGAUCCAAAAUCCGGAUAUCAUCAAAUUAGGAUGCCAGUAGGUGAUAAAUGGAAGACCGCAUUCAAGACUAAGUUUGGAUUGUAUGAAAUGGUUAGUAAUGUCUUUUUGGUUAACUAAUGCACCUAGCACGUUUAUGAGGCUUAUGAACCAUGUUUUGAGAGAGUAUCUAGGAAAAUUUGUUAUGGUAUAUUUUGAUGACAUCUUAGUAUAUUCUAAGUCUAUGAAUGAGCAUGUGGAACAUGUGAAGUGUGUCCAAACCACUCUUAGGGCCGAGAGGCUCUAUGCUAACCUCAAGAAAUGUAGCUUUUGUAUGGAAAGAGUCAACUUCCUACGUUUCAUCAUGACAACCCAAGUAGUAGAAGUUGAUCAAGAGAAGAUCAAAGUCAUCCAAUAAUGGCCAACACCCUAAAGUGUAAGUAAGAUUAGGAGCUUCCAUGGCCUUAUCAGAUUCUAUAAGAGGUUUAUCAAGGACUUGGCUUAAUUGCUUCACCACUCAAUGAGCUAGUCAAGAAGAAUGUGAAGUUCCAAUGGGGUCCCGAACAAGAUAAGUCUUUCAACACUAUCAAAUCUCGAUUAUGUACUAAAUUUUGAGAUUGAAUGUGAUGCUAACUUUUGAACUAACUUAAUUGUUUUGCCAAAAUUUGAACUAACUUUUGAGAUUGAAUGUGAUGCUAGUGGCAUUGGAAUCGGAGGCGUGUUGAUGCAAAAUCAAAGACCGAUCAUGUACUUUAGUGAGAAGCUUAGCUGAGCAAUGUUGAACUACCCAACAUAUGACAAGGACCUAUAUGCAUUGAUAAGAGCUUUGCAAACUUGGCAACAUUACCUUGGCCGAAGGAGUUCGUCAUCCAACAUAUCAUAAAAACUUGAGCAUUUGAAGAGCCAAGACAAACUCAACCGGAGACACACCACAUGGUUGGAGUUUAUAGAGACAUUUCCAUAAGCGAUGAAGUAUAAGAAAGGAUUUUUGUUCGAGAAAGGAAAAUUGUGCAUUCCCCAAGGCCUCCAAUAUAUCAACUAUUUCGUUGAAGGUCUUUUUUCGUGAAAGCUCCAUUUGUAGCGUUGUUGAGCAUCAUCUUCGUUGAAUGGUCCAAACCUCUAAAGAAAUGCUCUAUCUCGAUACAUGUUGGUAACCCAUGCUUCAGCCACUUUCGCAGCAACUCCUUGAAUCUCUCCCAUGCCUCGUGCACUGAUUCUCGGUCAUAUUGUCUAAAAGUGUCAAUCUCCUCUUAUGUCGUAUGGUGAGUGGGAGGGAAGUACUUUGUAAAAAACUUCUACUAAUGAAGUGGUGAUUGAACCUGGUGGGAAAGAAUUAAGCCACAUUCUCGCCUGGUCCCUAACAGAAAAUGGGAAAAGAGUUAAUCUCAAAGCAUCAUCUGUGAUACCAGACAAUCUAAAUGCAUUUGCAAUUUGAAGAAAAGUUUUGAGAUUGUCAUGAGGAUCUUCGUGUUCGUGCCCUUCGAACUGUCCUAAUGUCUGAAGCAUUUGAAACAUGAGUGGCUUUAGCUCGAAGUUGGCAGCUUCUGGAAUGAGAUUCAGAAUGACCGAAUCCAAAUUCUGGAAUGUUGUAGCAGUAUACUCUCGCAUGGCCACUUCUCUAUUAUUCGCCAUUUAAAUAUCGCUAAACUCCUUGUUUUGUUGGCAUUGUGCUAGCCCUGCCAUAUCACCGUUUACAUUAUAGAUUGGUGGAUCUACAGGAUUUCAAGGUGGAGUUCCGUCCAUAACUGUGAUGGUAUUCUCUAUCUCAUUUUCAGAA
Molecule: long non-coding RNA, 4283 nt
Organism: Momordica charantia (bitter melon)
Lineage: Eukaryota; Viridiplantae; Streptophyta; Magnoliopsida; Cucurbitales; Cucurbitaceae
Source: RefSeq, a predicted model, not a curated record